RNAcentral lists this long non-coding RNA (902 nucleotides) under Elaeis guineensis (African oil palm). RNAcentral describes it as "long non-coding RNA (EGUI_LNC079063)". Lineage: Eukaryota; Viridiplantae; Streptophyta; Magnoliopsida; Arecales; Arecaceae. The record is from RNAcentral.
UCCGGACGGAGUUUUAUCACGAAGGGGCCGCUGGGGAAGGUCCCCCUUCUUCUCAUCUGGUCUUGAAUGACCAGAUCUUAAUUGAUGUCGGGGCGAGGUUCUUUCCCUAUUUCUGUCGUAAUAAGGUUCAGCUCUGGUUAGGGCGAGGUUCGCCUCUUGUCCCUAACAGGGCUGUGGGGGCGCAUAUGGGCGUUGCAGGGCCUCUCCCCCCAUCUGCUCUAAAGGGAACCGGGCCUUCGACUUUGCUCAAGUUAGGGUGAGGUUCUCCUCCUGUCCCUAACAGGGCUGUGGGGGCGCAUAUGGGCGUUGCAGGGCUUCUCCCCCCAUCCGGUCUAAAUGGAACCGGGCCUUCGACUUUGUCGAGACGAGGUUUCCCUUUUGUUUUUGACACAGUUUGUUUGAAUUGUCCAAAGACAUAUAGGUAUGCAAUUUUUAAUUAAAACGAGGUUACUGGUAGUACAUCCGUAAGUUUUCUGAGCUCCACGGUCGCGGGAGGUCGGCUCCUCCGAGUUUCUUAAGAUAAUAAGUUCCGAGCCGGACUACUUCUUUGACUUCAUACGGUCCUUCCCAGUUUGGGGCGAGUUUCCCUCGGUCCUGAGGUUGCGAGACAGCGGCUCAUCGAAGCACUAGAUCUCCCACUCUAAAGGCUUUGUUCUUGACCCGGGCGUUGUAAUAUCGAGUGACUUUCUAUCUGUAGGCUGCCAUUCGAACCUGAGCUAUCUCCCGUCUUUCUUCCAGCAGGUCGAGGUUGGCUCUAAGACUUUGCGAAUUUUGACGUUCGUCGAAUGCCACGACUCGUGCCGACGGGAGUUUAAGCUCGAUUGGGAUGACAGCCUCCGUACCGAAGGCUAAAGCAAAAGGGGUCUCCCCCGUAGGUAGCCUCUGGGUAGUUCGAUACGCCC